Molecule: long non-coding RNA, 1064 nt
Filed under: Ananas comosus (pineapple)
Lineage: Eukaryota; Viridiplantae; Streptophyta; Magnoliopsida; Poales; Bromeliaceae
Description: long non-coding RNA (ACOM_LNC039964)
Source: RNAcentral
UUUUCUCCACGCACAUAAAUCCUUACUAAUGUGUCAAUAUCCACUCCUCAAGUAACCUUUAACUAGUUUCCAACAAUAGGAGCUAAUUAACUAACUUAAUAAUGAAAGAGAGGGAGAGAGAGAAGAGUCAAAAACAUGUUUUUUCCCUUCAAAAAAUCACAUCUUUAAUAAUAAUCCCCACUACAUAAGGAAGAGCACUUGUUAGGUCCAAAUUUGCUCCCAAGUUACCAAUUCCCAAAGUAAAGCCACACCUUUUCCACGAAGCAACCCACUAGUUGAUGGAGAAGCGCUUUUCAAGUUUCCUCUUGGAAAGGUACACUCCCUGUGGCUCCCAAAAGCCCAAGUGCUGCUGCAGCAGGCCUGCAGCUUCUUCCAAAAUCCAAACCUGGAACUAAUUCUAUUUAUUAAGUUAUUGAAUCUUCUUUUCUUUUCUUUUCUUUUCUUGAGAGAUAGAUAGCAAGAUACUUACUUCAUUUAUUUCAUUUAGAAAUAAACUUAGUCAGAUUGGUCUGACUCUUUUAGCAUGGUAUCAGAACUUACAAAGUGAACGAGUUGAUUUUUGAUUUAGCCAACUCGUUUUUCCAACCUAAUUUCCGGUUUCGUUCUUAUCUGAUUUUAUCCACUUCUCUCAACCCAACUUUGUAACAUGCUGAAAUAUAGUAAAAAAAGGUUAGUUUCACGUAACGAUCAUUUAGAAUUAUGAAUCGUAUAUAAUAUAUAAGAAUUUUUCAAUUUAGCCUUCAAUUGGAAGAGAUGAUAAAUACAUACAUAUUCAUCUUUGAAACAACUCACUCUCAAAUCUUAUUAGAAACCGUAAAACUCUUUCUAUCAUCCAACUCAGAAUCGAACAUGAAUAAUCUAGAUUGAAANUUCUUAGUAAUAGGAUUAAUAGAAAUAAGAUUCUCGGAUAUCUUUUAUUCCUACUAAUCUUUUAUAAUGCGAACCAAACGCACCCUAAAAGUAUUCUAGUCCUACUCAAAAAUCACAUCUUUAAUAAUAAUCCCCACUACAUAAGGAAGAGCACUUGUUAGGUCCAAAUUUGCUCCCAAGUUACCAAUUCCCAA